RNAcentral lists this ribosomal RNA (406 nucleotides) under uncultured bacterium. RNAcentral's name for it is "partial 16S ribosomal RNA". It matches the Rfam family "Bacterial small subunit ribosomal RNA", at positions 30 to 526 of the family's 1533-position model. The record is from RNAcentral.
AUUGAACGCUGGCGGCAGGCCUAACACAUGCAAGUCGAACGAGUGGCGGACGGGUGAGUAAUGUCUGGGAAACUGCCUGAUGGUGGGGGAUAACUACUGGAAACGGUAGCUAAUACCGCAUACCAUCGGAUGUGCCCCGAUGGGAUUAGCUAGUAGGUGGGGUAAAGGGUCACCUAGGCGACGAUCCCUAGCUGGUCUGAGAGGAUGACCAGCCAGACUGGAACGGAGACACGGUCCAGACUCCUACGGGAGGCAGCAGUGGGGAAUAUUGCACAAUGGGCGCAAGCCUGAUACAGCCAUGCCGGGUGUAUGAAGAAGGCAUUCGGGGUGUAAAGUACUUUCAGCGGGGAGGCGUUACCCGCAGAAGAAGCGCCGGCGAACUCCGUGCCAGCAGCCGCGGUAAUUC